This 276-nucleotide ribosomal RNA is filed under the name Francisella tularensis subsp. holarctica. RNAcentral's name for it is "partial 23S ribosomal RNA". It matches the Rfam family "Bacterial large subunit ribosomal RNA", at positions 868 to 1141 of the family's 2925-position model. The record is from RNAcentral. Lineage: Bacteria; Pseudomonadati; Pseudomonadota; Gammaproteobacteria; Thiotrichales; Francisellaceae.
AUUUAGGUAGUGCCUCGUGUAUAACUCAUUGGGGUAAAGCACUGUUUCGACAAUGGGGGUUUUACGACCAUACUGACUCGAUGCAAACUCAGAAUACGAUGAAGUUCGAUCACGGGAGACACACUGCGGGUGCUAAUGUCCGCAGUGGAAAGGGAAACAGCCCAGACCGCCAACUAAGGUCCCAAAGUCAUAGCUAAGUGGGAAACGAAUUGGGAAGGCCCAGACAGCCAGGAGGUUGGCUUAGAAGCAGCCACCCUUUAAAUAAAGCGUAAUAGC